GAUGAACGCUGGCGGCGUGCCUAAUACAUGCAAGUCGAGCGAACGGACGAGAAGCUUGCUUCUCUGAUGUUAGCGGCGGACGGGUGAGUAACACGUGGAUAACCUACCUAUAAGACUGGGAUAACUUCGGGAAACCGGAGCUAAUACCGGAUGAUAUUUUGAACCGCAUGGUUCAAAAGUGAAAGACGGUCUUGCUGUCACUUAUAGAUGGAUCCGCGCUGCAUUAGCUAGUUGGUAAGGUAACGGCUUACCAAGGCAACGAUGCAUAGCCGACCUGAGAGGGUGAUCGGCCACACUGGAACUGAGACACGGUCCAGACUCCUACGGGAGGCAGCAGUAGGGAAUCGUCCGCCAUGGGCGAAAGCCUGACGGAGCAACGCCGAGUGAGUGAUGAAGGUCUUCGGAUCGUAAAACUCUGUUAUUAGGGAAGAACAUAUGUGUAAGUAACUGUGCACAUCUUGACGGUACCUAAUCAGAAAGCCACGGCUAACUACGUG
RNAcentral lists this ribosomal RNA (497 nucleotides) under uncultured bacterium. Its description in RNAcentral is "partial 16S ribosomal RNA". It matches the Rfam family "Bacterial small subunit ribosomal RNA", at positions 28 to 507 of the family's 1533-position model. The record is from RNAcentral.